UCAGGCAGUGACAUUUGUCACCACACUGAUCCCCAGGGUUGAUUGGGCUGAUCUGGCUGACCAGGCGGGAGUCCCCU
This 77-nucleotide small RNA is filed under the name Fukomys damarensis (Damara mole-rat). RNAcentral's name for it is "7SK RNA (ENSFDAG00000001193.1)". It matches the Rfam family "7SK RNA", at positions 15 to 91 of the family's 331-position model. Rfam says of the family: 7SK was discovered as an abundant small nuclear RNA in the mid-70s but a possible function has only recently been suggested. Lineage: Eukaryota; Metazoa; Chordata; Mammalia; Rodentia; Bathyergidae. The record is from RNAcentral.